Helianthus annuus (common sunflower) is the source of this 1288-nucleotide RNA transcript. RefSeq lists it as uncharacterized. The transcript has 6 exons. Lineage: Eukaryota; Viridiplantae; Streptophyta; Magnoliopsida; Asterales; Asteraceae. The record is from RefSeq and is a predicted model, not a curated record.
AGUUCAUUCUUUCAGCCGUUUCUCUCUACCUGUCUCUCUCUCUCUCUCUCUCUCUAGACUUCCAAUUUCAGCAAUUUCACCUUCAAAUCAACCAGCAAUCUCGAUUUAAAUAAACCACAAAUGGAUUCGAAACAAUCAUCUCCGAAAGAGAAGGAUGCAGCGGUAGCGGUUAGUUCUCCACGUCUACGACCGGUAGUCCUGUAGCAGAGAACACGGUGGAUGAAACAAUGAAGUGUAUUCUCAAUCAAAUGCAGCAAAAGCUUCCGGUAUUUGAGAAAUUCAAACAAUUGAGCAACAAAGUGAUGGAACAUGGUGAAUUCAGGAAAAACCAUUGUUUUCAUCAUUCAUUAACCAAGCAUCCUAAUUUUUAUGCAACUGCAGGAGUCUGAAUCUUCUUCGAACACAAGAGAUAUGGAUCAGAGUAACAACAAUCCUUCAUUUUUUAAGCUUAUUGAGGAAGAUGACCCAUUAUUUUUGCAAAUACAUAAUGACUAUGCUUCAUUGAUGUGGGGAGAGCAACCACCUUACAAAGAAUCUGUUAAGAUUGUUGAUGGCAACAAGUUAUGGCUUGUAAGACUGAAAAAACUGAUUUGGGCUCUGUACUUGGUGAUGGCUUCACCAAAGUUGUUCGGGAUAGUUGUAUAAAAAAAUGACUAUCUUAUGUUUUAGUCCUUUGGACCAUCAUCAUUCUUUCCUUCGGUGUUAAAAUUAUUUGUUCAUGAAAAUUGUUUUAUAUCCAAAAUCACACCUGAGGAUAAACGUUAUUGUAAGUAGUAUAUAUUAUACAAUCAGUAUGUUUAAUAAUUUUUUCUUUCUGUAUAUUGGGUUUUUAAUUUUAAUUAUCACUACCUUUGCAAGUCAUGGCUGAUGAAUUUUGGAGGCAAUUUUAUGGGAAAAAUUUCAAAUGUGGUCAAUCAACCCUUUAUUUAGCAGAUAGAUUUUAUAACGUUAAGAUGGACGGAUUAACUGACAGCUGUGUUUUUACUCAUGGAUGUUCUGAGAUGGUAAAUUUAACCCUUUAUUUAGGAAAAAUUUCAAAGGUGGUCAAUCAACCCUUUUUUAGGUUUCAUUGUUUAUGCUGAUGUGUAUAAUUUUGUAAAAUAUAUUUUUUUUUUUUUUGCAAAUCUAACUAUGAUAUUUUUAAAAUUUGAAUAUUUGGGUUGUUUCUAAUAAAUUUUGUGCUGUUUUAACAUGUAUUAAUUAUAAUCCAUCAAAUAUUUUGUUAUUUCCUUAAAUUUUAGUAUUAUAUGGUUUUCCUAAAUUAAGGUAUCUCUUUAUAUAAAUAAAU